Molecule: ribosomal RNA, 252 nt
Filed under: uncultured bacterium
Lineage: Bacteria
Description: partial 16S ribosomal RNA
Rfam family: Bacterial small subunit ribosomal RNA
Source: RNAcentral
UACGGAGGAUGCGAGCGUUAUCCGGAUUUAUUGGGUUUAAAGGGUGCGUAGGCGGGCUUUUAAGUCAGCGGUAAAAAUUUGGGGCUCAACCCUGUCCGGCCGUUGAAACUGGGGGCCUUGAGUGGGCGAGAAGAAGGCGGAAUGCGUGGUGUAGCGGUGAAAUGCAUAGAUAUCACGCAGAACCCCGAUUGCGAAGGCAGCCUUCCGGCGCCCUACUGACGCUGAGGCACGAAAGUGCGGGGAUCGAACAGG